Molecule: non-coding RNA, 95 nt
Organism: Arthrobotrys musiformis
Lineage: Eukaryota; Fungi; Ascomycota; Orbiliomycetes; Orbiliales; Orbiliaceae
Source: the annotation of a GenBank genome assembly
GCCCGGUUAGCUCAAUCGGUAGAGCGUAAGACUCUUAAUCCUCUUCGAGGCUUAAAGCAAUCUUAAGGCUGCGGGUUCGACCCCCGCAUCGGGCU